RNAcentral lists this ribosomal RNA (94 nucleotides) under uncultured bacterium. RNAcentral describes it as "partial 16S ribosomal RNA". The record is from RNAcentral.
UACACACCGCCCGUCACACCACGAAAGUGGGUUACACCAGAAUCGGUGCGCCAACCGCAGGGGCAGCGCCAAGGUAUGACUCAUGAUUGGGGUG